GAUCAGUGCCGCUGGGGAAGUUGGCUAGAGUCCUCGAGAACGGAAAUCCCUCAAACGGAUCCCAUAUGUCGAGAGAGAAAGGAUCGAAGAUAUUGCUUCGCCGGCCGCCGAAGAUGCUCGGAACCAAAGCCAUCAGAAUUUUGCAAGAGAUUUGUGCUCUGGACUAUUUGGUUUGAGGACUUGACUGGAUUUACCUAAGGCAAUGACUAAUUCUGUCUGAGGGUGGAAGGCAUCAAGAAGUGAAGAGCUAUAUAUACAAGGGACAGAUGAUGAUCCGGUAUUGUCUAGAAUAUUCUUAUCGCACCAAAAAAAUGGAAAAAGUCUCGUCACUUUCCACAAACUUCCACGAGCUUCGAGAUUUUGGUUUCACUACUCCACCAGAACGGUGUCCACGUGUCUCCAGAGAUAUCUGUUGAUAGUGUAUCUCAAUAUAUUUGGGCUUAUGGUUUGUUGUUGAGCGGCGACCACUUAAUUAGAAGAGGCCCAAUGGAUUGUCGAUGGAAGCAACACAAGCCCGACAUAAGGUGAAAUAAGCCCGACAUAACUCUCUCUCUCUCUCUCUCGAUAUAUAUAUAUAUAUAUAUAUAUGUAUAUAUAAAGCUAGAGAUAUUGAGUAAUUUAGCAAUGACUAAUAUUCACUCUCAACAACCUUAAGAAAAGAUAAAAGUCAUAUUAUCUAUCUAUCUGUAGUAAACUUUGGUAAUCUGCCGAAGUCGUCUUCCCUUGUUGACUUUGCAGACGGGAAAAAUAACAUUGAACUCCCUCAAACUGCCGUUUCAUUGGGUGAGUAACGAGCCACAGAAAACUAUUAGCUCAAAUUUGGUGACUGGUGGUGAGCAUGCAAAAUCACAACACAGACACGGGGGUACGAAAUUUUGGUAUUAGGACGGGUUUUAACUCAAACGUUCAAAUUUCUUGAGAGAAUGAAUGAAGCCAAUUAACUAUAAAAAAAUGCUCUAUAUGCAGCUACAAAUCAUGCGACAAUCAACGCACCCCUCCCUGCAUGACAAAUAGCUGGUUGAAGCAGGCGGCUGUAUAUUACUAUUUCUUCGGGGGGAGAAAACAAACUGCUUUUUUCGCUAUGUGUAUCCUUCCAUGUAACGCCAACUCGAGUCAUUGAUUCUGAAACAAGACCAUACGGUGGAGAGUUGGAAAUGGGGAACAGUCCAAUAAAACUACAAAUGUCAUUUAAUUUUGUUCAGUUUAUGUGUCCUUGAAGAAAAUUGAUCACGGAAAUUCACCAGCUCAAACUACAUUUUGUCUUAGAAAACUUGAAGAAUUCAUGUCUACACGCACUCGUUCUUGGAAUUUGGUAAUUGUGUAAGUCAUGAGUGCACGAGAUCCUAAGCUGUGAAGCAUCGUGCAUCCACUUAUUUAGUAGUAAAAUCAAAUCAAUUAUCCCUGCCUGAAGCAUCCUUUCAGAUCCUAGUGUACUGAGGCUCCUAAAAGAGGAGAGAACUAGUUAUUGUGAGCAACUACUGCCACGACUUGAAGCUGCAAAAACUGGACGUAGUUAUUACUUUGAAUAUUGUAUAGCGGCGGUUAAAAUCAACAUGUAUUAGUGUUAAAUUUCGACAGUAUCAACUCUUAUGCCCAGAAAUGAGAAACCACCGGGGCAUGUCACUUGCUCAUUUCUCCAAAUAAUAAAACACCGAUGAUGACUGGUUAAUAGUUUCUUCCCAAAGAAUAAAUAAAUAAAUUGGAAAAACAGGACGUAGUUGUUAAUGGCAAUAACUCACUGAUGAGAGACUUCAUGACAUCACACCUCUCGAGAGGCCUCUGAUCAACCAACCGACCAAUGAGAUCUCCUAGUAUUUUAUUAUUAGCAUAAUCAAGGAGGGUUGACUUUGAUCGUUUUAUGAUCAAAAUCAUCAGAGUAUGAGUUGUUUAACCGUUCAACGAUUAGGAUCGUCUGUGUUAAGAGAAACUGAUGUUGCAAAUGGGUUCUGAAAAAGCAAACUUACCACCUCAUGUUCUCAUAUUUCCCUUGCCAAUCCAGGGCCAUGUCAACUCCAUGCUCAGGCUGGCGGAACUUCUUUGUCUCGCUGGAUUAGACGUAACUUACAUUGUCUCCGACUUUUGCCAUAACCGCCUCCUCACGCACACUAAUGUGUCGUCGCAUUUUGCUCGCUAUCCUGGCUUUUCUUUCCAAACCAUAUCCGAUGGGCUUCCAGAUGACCACCCCAGAGCAGGUGAGGGAUUUGUGGAUAUCAUGCCCGCUAUAAAAAUGGUGACAGGGCCGCUAUUUAAGCGGAUGAUGAUCGAGAAAGGUUGCUUUGCUUCUUCUGGUGCCCGAAGUCCUGUUACUUGCAUCAUUGCUGAUGGAGUCUUGAGUUUUGCCGGUGAUUUUGCUGAAGAGAACGGAAUUGCCCUCAUCUAUUUUCGCACCGUUAGCGCCUGCUCAUUUUGGGCCUGCUUUUGUAUGCCUCAAGUCAUUGAAGCUGGAGAAAUACCCCUUAAAGGUAGUGGAGUACAAAAUUUGAUCACGCGUAGAUUUUUACAUCAAAGUGUGUCAUUCAUUGUGUCUAUUGUCGUUGAUAUAUCUAUAUUGACAGAUUUAUCAGGUGCAGCAAGUUUUAGCAUAAAUUAAUUUGGUGUCUGUAUACCCCUUAUUAUCACACCCAAGAGGUUGACGGCACACCCAAAUAUGCAGGACAUGGAAUGGAACUGGCAGUCAAAAGCGUCCCAGGAAUGGAAAAUAUUCUUCGGCGUCGGGACCUGCCUGGUUUUUAUCGUGUCGACGAUCUGGACGACACUACUUUCCAAAUAAUCAAAACGGAGACUCAGCAAACCCCGCGAGCCCAGGCGGUGAUACUGAACACAUUUGAAGACUUAGAGGGACCAAUAUUAUCUCACAUUCGUAAACACAUGCCAAGAUUAUACACAAUCGGACCAAAUCAUUUUCACCUGACGGCCAGGCUGGGAGCAAAAGCAACAGAGACUGAAACUUUAAUUUCUUCAGCCAGUUUAUGGGAAGAAGACAGGAGCUGCUUGGACUGGCUUGAUUCACAGCCUCCAAAAUCGGUAAUUUACGUCAGCUUCGGGAGCAUUACGGUUGUGAGAAGAGAGCAACUCCUGGAAUUUUGGUACGGACUGGUGAAUAGUGGGCAGAGGUUCUUGUGGGUCGUCAGACCUGAUUCCAUUAUGGGAGAAGCCGGCGGAGGUAAGAUUCCAGCCGAGCUAGAAACGGCUACAAAAGCAAGGGGUUAUAUGGUGGGUUGGGCCCCGCAGCUAGAAGUCCUGAAUCAUCCUUCUGUUGGGGGAUUUUUGACCCAUGGUGGUUGGAAUUCGACUCUGGAGAGUAUGGCGGCCGGCGUGCCAAUGUUAUGUUGGCCAUAUUUUGCCGACCAAACGAUCAAUAGCAGGUUUGUGAGUGAAAUUUGGAAGAUUGGAUUGGACAUGAAAGAUACAUGCGACAGAGUCAUCAUCCAGAAAAUGGUGGCAGAACUCAUGCACGCGAGGAAGGAUGAAUUCUUGAGAAGGGCAGAUGCCAUGGCAAAAUUGGCAAGAAAGGCUGUUACUCAAGGUGGUACUUCGUAUAAUAACUUGGACAGCCUCGUUGAGUUUAUUGAAUCUACUAUUAUCUGAAAAGGACAUGGCUUUGAUGUGUUUUUCUUGUUUAAUUUCUUCUUUUUUUUCCUGCAAAUUAAAAUGUUUUCACCAAUAAUGGUGGUAUUCUAAACCAACUGCUUAUGGUUUAUAUUGGAGAUUGAUAAUUUCAUGCUUGCCAUUAAGAGAUUAGAGAUUUUAGGACUAGAGUUUUGGGGGUUGAGUAUGCAACUUGAUGUUAUGUUGAGGAGAAACAGAGAUAUUUCUUCCCUUGUUGCUGGUCAAUGUAACGCUGCUCAAAGAAGAUCUAAGGAACUUGUCAAUGAUGCGUAGCGUUUAGUUGGCGCAUGUCUUCAUUCUCUCUGUUAUUUCCAAGGGGGAAAAUGCCCAAUUUGUCUGUAUUAGUGAUUCAAUCAAAUGUUACUGUCAAUCGCUUUGACCAUAUAAUUGAUUUCGUGGGCCUCGUGUCUUCUUGUUCCCUUCUUUAUUUCCCCACUGAAUUUUGGAGGAAAGGGUUCAAAUCAACUUCCAUCAUCUUACACUGGGUCCUAAAUUUGUGUGUCUCCUUCUUGUUGGAGGAAGAUUUAUUUUGCUAAACAAGCCUUUACAUAGACUUCUACUCCAACAUAUGGAUCGAUGAUGUCCUUAGUUGAGAUCUAAAGUGUACCAUUACACCCAUGGUUCGCCAUAUCCGCCCAUACUGAUACGUAUCGGCAGAGUCGUAAUUGAAACGGAGGUGACCGUUACGAUACCGAUUCCCGAAUCACGGAUAUUACCAUAUCUACGACAAUUCGCUCUGACUAGGCGGAUAUUGGCCGAUUCGAAUCUGUGAUACAUAAUAUCGACCGAUAUAUCUGAGUCAAGUCAGAGUCAAUCCGAAUUUUUUUAAAAAAAUUGUGCAUUGUUUGGUAUUUUCUAAUUUUAACAAUUUUUUCAAAAUUUUUGGAAAUUUUCAUGUGUUAUAAUAUGUGUAUCAUCCGAUAUUCAACUGAUAUACUACAACGGAUGUGGAACAAUUGAAACCGCGACACGAUCGCAACCCGCAAUAACGAACCAUGAUUACACCCAACAUGCCACAGCCAUCCAUGUUUAGGUUCAAUUGUCAUAAAAGAUGAUAAACAAUUAAAUGCAGAGGGAUUUUUAGACUUACCGCAUAGAUAAUAUCCGCAAAACGUUUAGCUACUGUCAGUGUGUAAUGUUUCAACAGAAACAAUAUCCGCGAAACGUUUAUGUUGUAAUUCAUUGUGUUUCAUUAUCUUUCUUUUUUUUUUUUAACCUUUUUCUAUCUCCCAUCCUUUGUUUCAACCCUCAAACACCACUACCAAGCAUGGCGCAGCUCCGGUGCUCCUCCAACCAUAUCAAGACCAUAUUGCCAAAUAAUUUUUUAUGAUGGGAUGUAAAUGAAAUUAAAAAAAUAAUUAAAAAAUGAAAAGAUGAUAAUAAAAUGUGCUUAUGAUAUAAGCAAUAAAUUUUAUGAGAAAAAAAGUUGCUGAAAAAUAAAAAUGUUGUCGAAGACCCCAAAUUUACUUGUUAAUUUUUGCUGCAAACUGCGUCGUGUCCUUGUCAAAACCAUAUUUAUUAAACCCAACCCGGGAAGGAACCCGGCGAAGGGGGUGGGUCAACGGGUUACUGGUUCAACCGGUGGGUGAGUGGUUGAACCGGUGGGUCACUAAAUAUAUUUAAAUAUUAUAUUUCAUAAUUUUUUAUAUAAGAUAUAUGAUAUAAAUUGUAAUAAAUAAUGCCAUAGUAAAAGCUCAUUUAAUUUAAUUUGCUAUAAAAUAAUUAAUUCAUAUAAGAAUCAAUUAAAUAUAAAGUUAUUUAGUAAUACACCAAACUUCAAGUGCAAAAAUUUAUCUAUAUUUAGUGUAAUAAUGUAGCUUAUUUAUGAAUUUUAAGUGUAAAAAAUUAUUAAAUUAAUAUUUGUCUUUGAAAUGAAUUAUGUAAUGUGUUAUUUUUGAAAUUCAUUUUAUAAAUUAUAGAGUUUGGAGGGAACUAAUUUUUAUUAAAAGAUUUCAAAUAAAUUUAUUUUAGAGAAAAAAAAGAUAGAAUUGAAAAAAUAUAUAUAUAUUAUAAUAAAGACAUUUUAUUAACAAAUUUCGGGGCAGUCUAGUGGCAAGCCUACGUUAGUGAUUGGUGGAGGUCCAAGGUUCGAGCCUUGACAAAGGCAAUAAAAUUUUUCCACCAAAACCGGUCCGUGGACAAAACCGGCCGGAUUUUCGGUUUAGCUCGGUCCGACCGCCGGGCCGUUGACUAGUCAACGGUCCCGUUGCUCAAACGAUCCAAUUUAAGACUCAGUCCGGCCUAAUGGCCGGUUCACCGGUUCGACCGUCGGACCGGAUUUAAUAACUAUGAUCAAAACUCUUCUACGAUUUUAUAUUUACAAAAGAUUGUUGUCAAAAUCACAAAGGAAUGGAAAAUAAAGAGCUUCAUGCAAGCUACCACAGUCACCAACCACGAAUCCAGCAGCACUGUCAUAAUUUGCUACUAUGGAAUAAGGGGAAAGUGAAAAGAGAAAGAGAAAGUAAAUAGGAUUGGUAAAGAGAGUGGAGAAAAGGGAGGAAAAAGAACAGGAAAGGAAGGGAGAAAAAGAGGGGGGCUUCAAUGAUAGGUGGAGUUCGGCAUGAUAGCUGCCUUUUCUAUUUCCUUUUUGGUAUCAAAUUCAAUAAUUGGACCACUCUCACCAACUCGGUUUGUAUAGACUUUGAUAGUAAUUAAACCAUAUUUAUAGUCUAUUAAAUUAUACUUAUUUGUAUUCCCAACCAAACAGCUAGCUGGUUCCAUCUAAGCCAUUUUGUUAUUAGAGUAAUAUUUUGCACAAUUAAUGUCCCAAAAACGCAACAAGAAGAACAUAUCUUCAAUUAAUUGUAAACCAUUGUCCAAUUUUUGGACAAGUGAUAUUGCUAUCAAUUAUUUGCAUCUCCACCUAUCAUAUCCAAGGAGCAACUAUCGUGUACCUCGCUCGGUGUCAUUGAUGGACUACCAAUUUGUGAACGAGACAUAACUGUUGGGGAUUGUUUUUCAAAAUCUUUUGUCAAAGAACCAGUACUUAAUUACGUUUGUUUUAUGUAACAAGAAGGAUAUUGACAUAAUUGUUACUUUAUAAGACUAGAUAUCUUUAUCCUAUUGAAAGAAAGUUAACAAAAUAAAGUGUUCUUCCUCACCAUUAAAUGUUGGAUCGCACAUUAUGAUAUUUUAGACAAAGCUUCCAUCCCUAAUGUGUUAUUUCACAAUGAGAAUAGAAGGACACAGGAACUGGAAAGAGAGAUUUGUCCAGCUCUGCCUCUCCCGUUCUGUGCAAGGAUUUGUUUAUGGAGAUAUGGUAGAGGUACAAAAUGAGAUCAGCGACUCACUAACCUAUUGCUCAAGUACAAAAUCCAAUACAACGGUCACAACACUAAUUAGAAGAUCUUUUCAUGUCUAUCGAACCCAAGAUGUUCUAUCUGCAUCGACCAAGUCAAUUUGCCUGUUACCCACCUAAUCUCAUAAAUCUCUUACUCUAAUCUCACCUUAUCACAUAAAUUAAUUUACGUCUACUAGUAAAAAGCAUCAGUUAAACUAAGAAUUCUGCUUGUACAUUUCCCACUGUUUACAUCCAAUUGAUGGCAAACGGCAACUAGAUAUCAUACCAACUGAUGCCAACUAAGCCGAGGACACUAUUAUCACCAACUUCACAGGGCCAGAAAACAACGAAGUGUAGAGAUGGAUCACCAGAUACAAUUCUCCACUCCCCAUGCACUACUAUUCCCUUUACCACUUCAGGGUCUUGUGAAUUGUACGCUCAAGCUAGCUGAACUGUUGUGCCUUGGUGACUUGCAUGUUACCUUCGUCAACACUGACCACAUCCAGGACCGACUGAGAAGUUGCAGCGAUGUUGAAUCACGGUUCGAGCGUUAUCCCAAUUUCAGGUUUCAUACAAUCCCGGAUGGCUUUCCCGAAGAUAGUCCUCGUACGGGUGAUCAAAUUUUUAAGUUACUGGUGUCUUUGAAAGUUGUGAGCCAGCCAAUUUUCAGGGAGAUGUUAACCUUUGGUCCCCUGGUUGUUUUUACAUCAAAUAACCGUUCAAGUCUGUGAUUCAUGUCAGUAGGAAGUCCUGCGGCCAUGACCAAGGAUCAGCUGAUGGAGACUCGGUAUAAUUUAGUCAACAACAGUGGGGCGAGGUUCUUGUGGAUUCAGAUACCGGGGUCUAUAGCUGUAUCAGUAGUAGAGGGGGAUGAGAUUCCUGAGGAAUUGGUUAAAGCAACCGAGGAAAGAAGUUAUAUUGUGGGUUGGGCUCCUCGGGAAGAGGUUUUUGGGCCAUGCUGGAAUUGUUGGGUUUUUGACUCACAGCGGUUGGAACUCAACAACGCUGGAGAGUGUAGCGGAGGGAGUUCCAAAUGAUAGGGUGGCCGUACUUUGUUGACCAACAAGUUAACAGUAGGUAUCUAUCAGAGGUUUGGAAACUUGGAUUGGACGUGAAAGAUACGUGUGAUCGGAUCAUUGUUGAGAAGAUGGUCCGAGAUGUUUUGGAGUUCAGAGAAAGGAUGAAUUCUUGCUAACGGCAAAUGAAAUGGCAAAAAUGGCCAAAUCAAGUAUGAGCGUAGGUAUGAGCCAAGGCGGAUCUUCAGACGAUGACUUGGGCAAUCUGAUUGAGGACAUCAGAUUGAUGCAGUUGAAGGCAUAAACUAUUUUUAGCAUUGCUGAAAUAUGAUGUCAGGACUAAAGUUUGACACGAAACAAGCCAACCUUGAACAAGUUACUGCAGAGAUGGAUCAUUAUUAUGAUAAUGCUUGCGCUUAACCGUUUUGCAAAUAAUACAGAGAUUCAGCCUAUGAAGGUGGACUUGGACGAGUCUGGAGUUUCUUCUUCUUUAUUUCCUAUGCUUCGAGAAGAUGAAUAUGGGACAAAAAUAAAAACAUUUCGAAAGCUAGGCUAUGAGUAUGUCAUCUUUAAACUAAGUUGCAAAAUCCACUCUUGAGUUGACAUCUUUAAGAGGAUGGUGCACGCUACUGGUUAGCAAGAUUGUGUGAUGAAUCGUAUGGUCGUAAACAAGAGGGUAGUUUUCAUUCCAAUCGAUUAGGCGCUUGCCAACAAGUACCGACAUGCAUUCAACCAAUUGGUUUUUAGGCUGUUUAUGUAGAAUAGAAUAUAUGCGAUGUUAUGCUUAUCUGUAUUCUAUUUCAAUUCCAUAGCCAGGCGUAGAGUUUCUUUUGUCUUCUUAUUAUAAUUUUGUAAAACAAAGCACUACAUAGUAUAUACUGUGUACACUUGAGCUAGUUGCAAGCACCAUGCAUGUCAGUCGUCGGAGAUUUUAUCCAAAAGCAAAACACUGGAGAGACAAGAAGGAUGCUUAUCCAAAAGAACACACAAAGAUCAUGGAUAUCUAACAAUGAUGCAUAUUUAGAAAAAGCAGCCAUAUUCCUUGAUGUGUAAGAUAAUGCUUUAACUGCUGUAGACUGCAGAAAUUAAAAGAGGCUGACUGACAAGGGAAUUGAGAUCCCAAGACCAAUUCACCAAUUAAAAACCAUAGGCCACAAAGAUCGAUGGUAGAAAAAUAAUUUCAUGCAUUGUAUCUUCUUUUUUUUUUUUUUUUUUGGCCCUUAACUAUAUGGACGGCAAUCGCAAAACGAUUAUUUUUCCAGUGGUUGAAACUCCAAGGAAUCCACCAUCACAUCAAUCUAUCGUUCUAUUCUUGUAUCAUGAUCAAUUCUCUGGAAAAAUUCAACGUAAUUAUUUAAUAAAGCAAGAAAAAAGCUCUCUAGAUACAUUCAAAUUAAUUGAAAAAAAAAAAUUGAUCUUUCCCCGAUUCGUACGCCAAGCAACUUUUGAAUGAUAAAUAAGUAAAGUAAAUGAAUUGAAUCAAAAUAUUCCUUCUUGAAGUGAUCCCUGAGAUUUCCGGAUACAUCGCGCAGUGUUUAUAUGAAACAGUUUUCUAUCUAUUUCUUUCUUUCUUUAGUUUUUAAAAAAGCGUUUUUCUAUAUGUUUCUUUUAAACAAUUUUAAUUUUUCACCUCUCCUCUUUUAUUAUUUCCUCAAGAUUUUCAAUGAAAGAGAUUGAAAAUUUUAUUCCAUCAUUGCCCUUCUGUUACCCCAAUUAUAAAUUUUGUUCCAGAUUAAAUAUCAAUACAAGCUCAGAUAUACAGCAUGCAAGUGUAGGCAUGUAAGUGUAAUAACAAAGAAAGAAGUAGAAGUCAUGUAGAAGACCAUAGCAAUAGCUAGAAGAUCGUUGCAAUAACAAAGUACAUAUUUAGCAUAGUUCUAUUGUCCACAUUUGAUUAAGAAUAAUUGACAUUAAUAGCAAAAUACAGUUGAGUUUCAUCAAAUUUCAGUGUCAGGAAGUAGCUUCAUUGGCAUUCACCAUCGGUUUAUUUUCUUCGAGAGACGAUUUAGUCUCACCCACCGAAAAAAAAAAUCAACCUAAAAUGAUGCAAAGCAAUCCAAUAUGGCAAAUUUUACUCCUUGCAAGAAACCACAACUAGAUAGAUGAAAGAGAUUUCAUUCUUUCGGCUGAAGCUCUUUCUAUUGUUCCAGAGAAGAAGAGCAUUAUAGAUACCUGAAAAGAAGAAUGCCUUAUAAUGCAUUGCGUUAGCCUUGUUAGAACCGCGCCCUAUAUAGAGAUAUGGCGCAAAAUGGCUAUUUUGCAUCCAAAAUAGUUUGAGUGAAAAUUUGUUAUAGGAGUGGUUAAUUUAGCCAAUUCGUGGCCUGUAAAAAUGGUCACAUUUCACUUACAAUGAAGGUCAGUGAUCGAUGUUUUUGACAUUUCAAAGAUGCUAAGUAAUAUCAUAAAAAAUGUCAAAAGAGGUUUUUGAAAUUAUUCCUAAACUAUGACUUUGUCUCUUUUCAUUUUAUAUAGUACCGUUCCUCUUUUUUAUUUUUACCUUUUUAAAGAAAAAACUACAUAUGUCUCCACUUUUAUGUCUUAAUAAUCUGAGUAGUGCAUGACUCUGUCUAAUUAAAUUUUCUUCCACCUGGAAAUUCUGUUUCAAUUUAGGUCUUUUGGUAAAUUGCAGCUGGCUAAUUUGUGACUUUGUGCCAAAUCUUCUCGAUGGUGUCAUCGGUCAUGUAAUUAACCCUAUUAUAGUUUUUUGCAAAACGGAAACACGACCAAAUCUACCGAAUCUGCUAUCCUUUAUCCUGUUGCGGACCAAAUCGGCUGUCUGUGUUUCGUGACUGAAGUGAGCUAUUGACAUCUAGAACGAAAAUGAAAGACAAAACUGAUGAUUGAAGUCAAAGUAAAAAAUAGUUUCCCUCCGUUGUCAUAUGAAACAAGAAUCACUGUGAAACAUGUUUCAUUUUUGGGAUUUUCGUGGUAAUACCUUUUACGCACGGGAACAGAAAAUUCCUAGUAUCAUUAACGAUUUUAUUUUGUGGGUUCUUUUUUUUUUUUUUUUGGGGUGUGUGUUGGCGGAUGAAAUUACUAUUGACUUCUAGAAAAGCAAAAGAAAACACACGCCUUGACAGAAAAAGCUGAAAGAGAUGAUUUUUCUCAAUUUAAUCUUCAAGAUCAACAUUCAGUCAGACGUAUGCUACCCACAUUAAUAAAAGGGAAAAAGAAGUAUAGUACAAUAAGUUGUACUAACAUGAUAGUUUAAUCUGUCCUAGGAAAAAGAAAAAAAAAAGAUAGAGGUUUAACCUAAAAGCUAGCAAUGUUUUUAAACCCAAACUAGAGAGUAAACCGGAAAAUUUUUCAGUUCAACCGGUUCGAAUCCGGCUCAAAGAUUUAAUAAUGUUUUAUUCAUUUUAGUAUUACGAAUUUUGAAUAAAACUAAAAUACAUAUUUUAGAAAAUAGAAACUUAAUAAAAACUGAUUAAACCUCCCGAUUUUUACCAGUUCAACCGAUUCUUGACCGAUUCAAUUAAUUCUUUAGUUUUUUAAUUGAACCGAAUCGAAGGUAUAGCUGAUUCGCAGUUCAACCGAUCGAACCGGCAAGUGUCCGAUUUUCAAGACAUUGUGUGAAAGCUCUAACCCAUCAAAUUUUAAAAGGAUAAGUGAUAUUUGCAAUCCAAAAAUAGCUUAUGGCACUUCACUCUAAUACUUUAUUAUGUGAAGAAGGGUGGAAUGUGGGAGGAUUAUUUAAGAGCACAAACAUUAUUUAUGCUUUAAAAAUUCACUUGUAUGUUUACUGAAAAUUACAACUAAUAACAAGUUAAAUUGAUAAUUAUUGUCCUUAAAAUAUUGUUUAAAUUCAGUCAGCAGACUAUUCAAUUUGCGUACCAGCUAAAAAGCUGCCGAUAAAAGCUAGAACAACUUUAGAUACAGUCAACCGAAACCAAAAUAUUUGUGAUCUCUAAAGUGGAAGCAAAAACUGGCCGAUGUCAAAACACGAUCAAGAGAUGUUUUUUUUUUUUUUUUUUUAAACAAAACAAAAAAUACAAAGUGUAUGUUGCGCCAGUUUUCCAUCUGUAGGAUGUAAUCAAGCUGUUAUGAUCACUUGAAAAGUGGGGAGUUGGUAUUUGCGCUUCCAUCUGUAGAAGAACCGUAGCUGUAUCAUACAUUGAAUGCUGAUCCAGGUUCCGACCACCCUGUGGCAGACAAAUAAAUUUGUUUUCUUGAAUUUGGUGUUCGAAAGACUGGACGAGAAUCGGAGGAUAUCUGCACAAAAUUUCUGUAGAUUCUAUGAAAGAUUUUGGCAUGACUAUAAAGUAAGGUUAGAAUUAAAAGCACUUGGACACUGUCCAUGAGUCGGUCACAAUCAACUUGUUAAAAACUAAUCUCGUCCUCAAUUAUGCGCCAGUUUGACAAUUAUUAAAAGCGAGACCAUUUGGAUCACAUGCCGGUUUCGUCAAACGAAAACAAUGAGACCCAGUAAAAGUCACGAAUGGAAAUUGAAAAGAAAGGAAUGGCUCGAUUUCGUGAAGUCACAACAGAUGUGAAGGAUCAUAUUUCCUUGGCUUCUCAACUACACCCACAACCACGUAGAGUCAAAUCUGUAGAUAUGCUGUAGUAAUUAAUGAUCAGAAACGGGAAUCGUAUCCAUGGAUCCAGAAUCCAAAGAAAUAUUUGCCCACGUAACAACGGAACAAAACAAAGAACUAACUAUUGCGCAUCUAAUUUCCUUAUCAACCAUGUGGUCUUCCACGUCCCCGUUCGAUGAACAUGCCCAACAUGGUGUGAUGGAUUCAGGACCACGCUAUUUUAGGAUUCAAACUAGACUGAACUUUACACAUGUACAUUAAUAAUUACUCGAGCACGAGCAAGGGCUUUUCUAAUGGCAUUCACUGUGUACUAACUAAUUAAGUGAUAUACCUAUCUAAAUUUUACAUAACCUAUGUCGUGUGCGUAUAUAUAUAUAUAUAUAUAUAUAUAUAUAUAUAUAUAUAUAUAUAUAUAUAUAUAUAUGUGUGUGUGUAUUAAUAAUUAUUAUUCUUUCUUGCAUUUAUAUAUAUAUAUUUUUUAAUUGAUCUUAUUUUUUAAAAAAUUUAAUGUCUGAAGUACAUUUUAACGAGCACUCAAUGAAUGUCUGAUAGACAGAACCACCCCGGUUCUCAACCAUACGACAUUUUUGAAGGUAAUUCUGCCCUGCUCAUAAUGUAAGCAGCAACUUUUUGAGGUUGUUAAUUGGACUUAAUUGGGGGGAUUUUAAUAGAAUUAUAUCUAGGAGCUGUUAAUUUACACAUAUCUUUGACGUAGAAAUAAUGGUUGAUGAAGUCUUGAAAGGUAUUCAAAACUCAUUGAAAUCGUGCAGGCAUGGUUGUGAUUUAUUCGCAGCUCUUUUCCUCGUGGCUUCAAGUGGGGACUAGAGACGGGUGUAGAUCAAAUCAAGUUGGGGAGGGGAGGGCCGGGAGGCCACUUGCCACCUCCGAUAUUGAGAACAUCGUCGAAUAGACUAGAGUAAUCAUCUAACUUCUCUUCCAGCUAAAUAGUAUAUUAUGAUAUUGACCUAUCCCAAGAAUUCACCAUCUCAAGAGUUACAAAAAUAAAAGAGAAUCGCCACUAGUUGUUAACUUCCUGUCUGUGUUAGUAUUAUCAUACACAUUCGACGGCUAUUAUAUCAUGCAUCAACCUGAUUGGAAAGUGGAAGCCAUAUCCACACCUUAACAUAAAACCAUAAACAAACACACAUUCAAUGCCUUCCCCGCAACCCAGCCAAAUUAAGUCCCCAACUAUUAUUUUAAACGCUAACAAAAGUAGUUGCGCCGUCCAACUGGACAAGUUCGUACAAUAUGGCCAGUAAUUAAGGGCUACUAAUUAAAUGGAGCAACUUGUGAAGUUGUGAUACUGACAGCAUUUUUGUGUGUGAGAUGAGACACUUGUAAGAGUUAACUGAAAACUAUCCUAAUGCAAGUUGUUCGAUUGUAUCUCAUUGAUACUAACACAACCGAAUGCAAGUUGUUCGAAUGCAACUCAUUGAUACUAACACAACACUCAUCAUACAAAGGAACAAAACAAAACCAGUGAUUGAUGAUGAUGAUGUUGUAUUUUCUUGUAUUUCUAAGGGUUUUUUUAACGGGUGCCUACUGAACGCCCGUUUACAUACCUACAUUCUACAGAAUUUAUUAUAUAUAUAUAUAUAUACAUUGUAAUAAUUAUUACUUUAUUUUGCAUUUAUACAAUUUUUCUAAUUAGUCUUACUUUUUUAUAAAUUUGACACCUGAAAUAUAUUUUAAUGAAUACCCAUCGUACACUUAUUAUUAUUAGACAAACCCUAUUCCUAAUGCUACUAGUCGUUCUACUUUUAACGUACAAACACCUUUAUACAGUACUCACACCAAAUUACUAGAGUGUUAUAAGUAAUUUGGUGGAAGUGUGGUAGUAAAAGUGGUGUCGUAUAAACGGAUAAGUUCAAAGUUGAACAGGUAACCUUAUGAUGGAAGUGGUAAGAUUUCUAAAUAUGCACGUACAAAUCCAAAAGAGCCCAUCGUCUACAUCUCUAGGCCCCCCAAAAAGCUUUAAUUGUUUGGAGCCUUCCUAAAAAUUUAAAAAUUGCAUGGCCCGCAAUCCCACCUUGCGGGUAUAAAAAGACGGCCUAUGCAUGUAGUAAAUUGUACUUCCAUCGUGACCAGUUAGAUGCACUUGAAAAUCUAGAUAUCCAAACAAAUUGGUUUCAUUGCAACAGCCAAUUGAGUGUUCCAAAAGGUUAGGACCCAAUCCAAUCAAAAAAACAAUUUAGUAUAAGGAGGCAGUGGGGGACAGCGUUACUUGCCAUGGAUAGUCAUCAAAAGCCGUCAAGUGCUCCUCAUGUCCUGCUUUUCCCUUUGCCCCUUCAAGGUCCCGUAAAUUGCAUGCUGAAGCUGGCCGAGCUUUUCUGCUCCAGUCAUCUUCAAGUCACCUUCCUUAACACCGACCACAUCCAGCGUCGCUUGCUGAGUUGCACCGACGUUUCUAGCCGUUUUAAGCGUUAUGCUGGCCAUUUCCGGUUUGAAACGGUACCCGAUGGCCUCCCGGCAGAUAAGACGCUGACCGGAGAACAGAUAGGGGAGUUGUUGGAUUCCAUGGAAGCUGUGAGCUUACCACUCUUCAGGGAGAUUGUAAGGUCUAGUGUGCUUCUUUCUGAUGAUGCUCAAAAUCCCUUGACUUGUAUUAUAGCAGAUGGGGCUUUCGGAUUUGCAGUUGAUGUUGCUGCAGAAUUUGGAGUUGCACUCAUGUAUUUUGAUACCAUCAGUCCUUGUGGUCUCUGGUCAAUCUUAUCUGCAAACAGGCUUAUUCAAGCUGGAGAUUUUCCUUUUAAAGGUCAGUUGUUUAUUCUCCAUGCUAUGUAUUACCAGAAGAGUAUAAUGUGUUGCAUGCUAUGCUAACAAUCGAUUUUUGGAGAUCAGUAGUCUUAAAAUUCAACGCCAGACUUGUUAUCCAAAAAAUCAUAUUGUCAAAAUGCCUCCGCAUGUUUACGAAUUUGACCGUUAGCGAAAAGUCAUUACGUCAAUUUUGUCGAUGAGAAUGGCUCCUGGCCUCCGGCAUCCUUCCGGUGCAGCGAAGAUAUUUGGCUCUUAGACGGCAUAAUGAGGUUGUUCAUUCUCUGGCAAAACAUUUGAUUGAAAUCUGCGACGCUUAAAUUUCUGUGGGAUUGCCUCCCUAAUCUAUUCUUGCAUGCAGAUCUUCUUUCAAAUUAAUGAUAUUGUCUUCCGUUUAUCACUAAACUAUGUAACUAUGUUUAGGUUCUUCCGAAUUAUGAAGCUGCUUCUUUUUAACUAUAUCUAUAACUACAAUUAGAACUUCUUCGUUAUGUAUAUAUUAUAAGGCAUCAGAAUCUUGAAAUUCCUUUCGUAUAGUAUUUUUUUUUUCCGUGUUUGGCUAAGAGGAAUUCUAUUUCAGGAAAACUUAAAAGGGUAAACAUCCAAAACACUUACAUUAAGGAAAAGAAGAUUUUAUACCAAAAGACUUGAUUAUAUUAUAUAUAUUGCAUGCAAUUCAAAUUGUUUGCAAGAGAAACUGCUGGAACUGCUAACUGUUGCAAUGAAAACACUUCUUACACCUUUUUUUCUUCCCAUUUAACAAAACAUCACCAAAAUUAUUGCUAAACGAAAUAUCAAGAUACUCAUAUUUGUGCAACCUGCAACAUGUUUUAAUCAGUUUGCCUCAUGAUUUGCUUUUGGUCUUUGAUAUUUCAACCAUUAUGAUUAGCUUUAAGCUCUGAAACACGUGUCUUAACAUAAUCAAGUAAAGCUCUAGAAAGAUAUAUAAUAGUUAUGCUAAAAACUGUGAUGCUUCUUGAAUGAUCAAUUUCUUAAAUAAAAGCCUAUUAGUAAAGUUUUAUCAGUUCAGAUUAGUUUAGGAUUCUACAUUAAGAGGAUAAUUAACCACAUGUAAACUGGCUGUUAAUUAGAAAAAAGUUGCAUUAUUGAACUAUUAAUAUGACUCAAUAAAAGAUUAAGAGUUUAACACAGUUGCAUAGAUGUGCGGAAAAAGAUCUACUUAUGAUUCGAAACCUCUUCGUACCUGUAUAUUUAGCCUACAGUUGUAGAUAGGAAAAGCUCUACUUCUAUUUUUUUCCCCCUCAGUAACAUGUAGACCGUACAUUGGAAGUUUUUGGCUGCGAAAUCAAGUAUUAUAAAGCUAAACCUUUUUUCGUUUUAUGCUUAGUUCAAGUAGGAAGGUUCCUUGUAAAGUCAGAGACGCAAUAAUCUUGUAUUACAUGCAAGUUUGCUGAAAGAUUCAGCCUAAAAUGCAUCACAUGGACUACGGAUUAAUCAGUGCAUGAAACCUACGAUCAAUUUUACUGUUACAAGCCAUGCAUAUCUUCAAUGGAAGGUUGUUCAUAUAAAAAAUCAUAACCCUCGCACGCAGUUUUUGAGUUUUAACUGUCGCAAUCACUUUAAACAGAUGAUGACUUGGAUGCACCGGUAACCAGCAUUCCAGGAAUGGAAGGUUUCUUGAGGCGUCGAGAUCUUCCAAGCUUUUUUCGCAUACCUGACCAAAAUGACCCAAUAAUCCAGCGCGUGUUAAAGGAGGAGCGACAAAUGAAGAGAUGCCAGGGCCUGAUUUUCAAUUCAUUUGAAGAUCUCGAGGGUCCAAUACUUUCUCAACUCAAAACUCUUGUUCCAAGCGUCUACACCAUCGGACCCCUCCACACCCACAAAGAGACUAGGCUAGCUUCAGAAAGAGAGUCAAAAAAUGAUCGCAACUCCACAAAUAGCCUGUGGAAAGAAAACAAGAGCUGCAUUUCUUGGCUUGACAACCAACCUGCAAAAUCUGUUAUCUAUGUUAGCAUUGGGAGUCUUGCCCUCAUGGGAAAAAAGCAGCUCCUGGAGAUCUGGCACGGUUUGGCCAACAGUGGGGUGCGAUUCUUGUGGGUUCAAAGGCCAGGGUCCAUUACCGGGUUAGACGAGGAAAAUGAUGCUGGGAUUCCUUUGAAAUUGUGUCGAGCUACUACAGAGAGAGGGUGCAUCGUGAGUUGGGCUCCGCAAGAAGAGGUUUUAGCCCAUCCUGCGAUUGGUGGCUUCUUAACUCACAGCGGCUGGAACUCGACUUUGGAAAGUAUAGUUGAGGGAGUGCCUAUGAUUUGUUGCCCAUACUUUGCUGACCAACAGAUCAAUAGUAGGUAUGUGGGGGAAGUUUGGAAGCUGGGGUUGGACAUGAAAGAUACUUGUGAUAGGGAUAUUGUUGAGAUGAUGGUUAGGGAUCUUAUGGAGGAGAGGAAGGAUGAAUUCUCGAAAAAGGUCGAUCAUAUGGCUAGAUUGGCUAAAGCAAGUGUGAGCAAUGGGGGAUCUUCGUACAAUGCUUUGAACCGUCUAAUUGAGGAUAUCAAGCUGAUGAGCCAGAAAAAGCCACUUUGGUGACUACGUACAACGUUUACCACUUAUCUUUCUCUUGGUGCUUUUGUUUUGGACUAAUGAUGUACCAUUGUUCUUUUGCUUUCUCGUUCCCCCUCCCUGUAACCACCCCAAAAAAAAAAAAAAUUCGUAGUAUAGGUUAGGAUAUCAAGCUCAUGAAAUCGUGGCAUCAUUUUCCUUUUUUGUUUUCUCUUGGUGUUAUUGUUUUCUCGUGCCCCCUCCCGAGUCCUGUCCUGGUAACAAAUAAUUUUGUUGCUGCGUGUAUCAAUAAAAUGCCUUCUCUUGUUGUCUCUCUCUCUCUCUCAUUUUAUUUUUAUACAUGUCUUAUUCUAUGAAAACAUAACUUGUAUUGAAAAACUCAAAGAAAUGAAAACUAAAAAGAACAUUUGUUAGCGUGCAAUAUCCUUUAUUACACAUAUAUUCAGCUCAACUCAAGAAACAUAUAUUUUUCUGAUAGAAGUCAAAGAGAUCAAAGUUCUUUAUUAAAAGGGAAAAUUGUCAAAUUGCUCCCUUGCGAGUUCGAAGAAAUUUUUUGUCACUCACAUUCAAAUUUAGUCAAACUAGUUCCUCAGCUAUAAAAGUUUUGUCCAUUUGAUUCCAGAGCUCAUUUUUGUGCAGUUUUCUGACCAAAAUACUUGCGCCAUCUCGUGUACCUGCCUAUAAUUUCAAGGGUGAAAUGGGAACAAAAUUCAUGUCUCUUUCUAAAAGAAAUACCUCUCUUCCUCUCCCCCCCCUAAUUUUCAAACACCAAACUCUAUUUCUAAUUCUCAACCACCAAAUCCCAAUUCCGAGUAACAAAACUUUCAACAAGUUCACAAAUAACACAUAUAGCAUUAUAAUAUUCUAUUAUAUGCAAUAAAUUACAAUAUUAUGUUAUUUAGACAAUCUUUUACACAAUCGUCCCUUUAUUAUCAAAAAGGUAUCAAAGUGGUGGAAUCAGUCACCAUAAUCAGAUGGAUUUAAGCUCUACUGUCCUUCUUUCUCACUCAUCUUUGUAAAAUUAUCAUGUCUGAUGAUCCACCAGUGCUUCUCGAUCAUUGGUACCCUUUUCUAAUUUGAUCCCUAUGUCUUUUUCUUCAUCACCUUUUGUUAAUGUGCAUUUGCUAAAGUCUUGUUGUUGUGAAUUGGGAUUUGGUAGCUGAAAAUUUGAGGGGAGGGAGUGGUCUUUUUUCCCUUUCUUUAGGUAAGGGAAAACAAUUUUUAUUUCCAUUUUGCCCUUGCAAUUAUGGGCACAUGAGGUAGGUGUGCGUUUUUUUGUCCGAAAACAAAGCAAAAAUGAGCUCUGAUACCAAACCCGCAAGAUUUUUAUAUCUGAGUGAUUAUUUUGGCCGAUUUUGAAUGUGAUAAACUAAAAAAGGAUUUUUUUUUCUUUUCUCAAAAAAUGUGAGGGACCAAAUUGAGCAGUUUUCCAAUAAAAACAUAGCGAAUAUUUUAGAUCGCAAAAGUGUCACAUUGGUUUCAAUACUGAAGGCUGAUCUUAUGUUACGAUUCCUGUUUUCUAAGAUUAUACUUCCAACUUCUGAAAGGAUAGAGGUAUUGAAUAUAUACGUUUUCAUUAUGAAUACAGGCCAAGUUAUAAAAGUGGUCAGGAAUUCCUCUAGAUCACAUAUGUCAAUGCUCUAAAAUUAAUGAUGAUAUCUCUUUAUGGAAAGUAGUAAUUUUCUAGGUCAUGUUUAUACAUGAAGGAUACAUCAUUCCCACCUCUCGUGUGACAUUUCACCUUUUUAAGUUUUCAUAACUUGAAAGUUAUACAAAUUAGAUCCUCCGCCUUAUCCACUUAAUUAAUACUAUUUAAGAAUAAUAACGUAAUUUAACAAACAUUUAAAAUACCGAUAACAUAAAUUUAUGCAAUUUAAUUCAAGAACAUACAGAAAACAAUAACCAUAUUAGAACAACACGUAUUAAGUGGGGUGCUACUAGAAAACACAAAAUUGAGAACGGGCUGUUGGGCUUACAUUAAAGAAAAUAGUCCAAAGACAAACUAAUGGAUCCCCCUCUGAGUGGACGUGGAGUUUCGAAAGCCCAACGUUGUCACCUAGCUCAUCGACUUGAUGUCCUCAUUAAAUUAACAAACGCCCAUCCUGGCUGACGUGGCUAUUGAAAUUUGGAAACCAGAUUCCUUGUCACUUUCAUUACAAGUUUACAACCUUGACCAGAUGUCUAACCACUACUCCACCGAAAAAUGUUGUUUUUUUUUAAAUAUAAUUUCGUUGAACUCUCGGAAGGUUCCAAAAAUUAUAUCCAUCUCUAUCGUUUACUUGUUUUUUUUUUAAAUAUAAAUAGGAGGUCUCAAACUCGAAAUUUCUCACUUACACUCCUUUUUUCGUACUACCCAACUCGUCUCUCUUCCCCACUUCUAUUGUCCACUUGUUAACAUUUUAAUAAAAUUACAUAUUGGGUGUUGCUAAUACAAAGAAUAAGUUUUGUAACUAUUUUUCCUUUUCUUUUUUUCUUCUUAUUUCUUUUUUUUUAAUGUUUUGCUAUUAAAACCACGGAACUAUCAAUAUUGACCUUAAAUUUUAUCGCCACCCAAUGUUGAACUAGUGACUUUUUUUUUUUUUUUGACAACUUUGAAUGUGACUAAAUUUUUGUCAAUCUUUCUUCCUCUUUUUUUUUUUUUGGUAUCAGAAGCGAUAAUAACUCGAAAAAGAUAUAACCCAAAACUACUAUCAAACUAUGAUUGUUCUACUGGUCCAAAAUUUCACAAAACCUAAAAGAAUUAUGAUAGUACUUUUCUUUUUCCAAUUUAGAAAGGAUAUAUAUCCACGGUAGCAUACCAUAAAAAAAUACUUUGUUAUAGUGAUAGAACUAUUAUUGUUUCUUAUUGAAUGAUAAAUGGGUAUUAGAAAUUUGACGCUCUUUUCUUAUAUUUAUACCAUAUUAGUUUAUAAUUAUUUGGGAUUGGUAAUUUAAAACUUGGGAAAACUGCACAAAUCGUCCCUAAAAUAUAAUUGAUAUGAAAAUUUAGUCCCUCGGAAUAAAGAUAAUUAUUUUUAAUUCCUAACAAAUUAAAAAUGAUCAGCGCUGGUCCUUGAUCACUUUUUCGUUCAAAAUUUAGCCGGAACUAGUCAUGAGCAAAUCACGUGACCAAAUUUUAAAGGAUAAAUAUGGUAUACCAGUGUAACAUUGACCGAAUAUAUAAGAGACUAUCAAUCCCUUUCUUUCCAAAACGGGUUUGUUUGGAUUGUGAAUUAUUUGAGAUAUUUUUACUGUAGCACUUUUUGUGAUGUGAUGUAUGUGAGAUAAAAAGGUAAUUGAAAAGAUAAAAAGAUGCGUUGAAAAUUGUAAUGAUGAUGUAAGCAGAUAUAAUUUGACAAAUAAUUCACAAUCCAAACAAAGCAAUCAAACUCACAGAUUUGACAUAUAAUUUUCCCAAAUUUUUCCUCUUCAAUUUCUUCAAAAUUAUCAUAGACCAAACAAGACUGGGGGAUGUGGCAGAUAAGUUGGCUUAUUUUCAAUCAACUCACAGAUGUUAAAGACCCUAAUUUAUGCACAGAGAUCCUCUUCUCUCAUGACUGGUACCUCUAGCAAGCAAUCUCCUUUUUUUUCUUUACCUCAUCUCUAAUUCCUUUGACGAGCACACCACCGCCGACGAUACUCUUUUUACCUUCAUCUCAGCGAUCGCCUCUUUCAAUUCUAACACCGAGGGAGCAAUAGUAGAACCACCAUUGCAGCUGGAACCAAUGGGGCCCUUGGCUUGGUUUGGAAAGUUAUGACACUUCCGUUCUCUAUCAUUUCCGGUAGACUAGUGAUGCCGGACUCUGGAUGUGGGCUACUUGGUUUGAUACUAUGGAAAUGAUGCUUGGUUUGACCAUGAAGGAGAGUUCAACAAGAGUUCAAGAGUACAAGUGGUGCUGUUUUGUUUGACCAUGGAAAAUGAUGAUCCUGUCCGAAGGUUAAUGGCAACAUUGGAGACAGGAGACAUAUUAUUGAGGUUGAAAUUUCAUGUAACAUUUGUCUGGAAUCUUGCCAAGGUUACUAUUGUUUUGCUUCAUUUUGGCUUAUUGUUUAUUUUGUAAUUGAAUAUUGGAGAAAAUUAUAGUCAAACUUAAAACAAUAAUUCGAGAUUUUAGUUGAUUUCUCAAUUGUGUAGAGCAUGAAUUAUUUGUCUUGUUGGAUUUUUUUGUUGGUAAGUAAUUCAUAAAUUACUUGUUGGAGUAUUUAUUUUUUUUGUGCAAAUCUGCUUUCUCUAUGAUGCAUUUUUUUGUAUAUAACGAGAUUCUAGUUUUGAGUUGGAAAUUCCAUUUAGUGCCUUUUCUUAUAUAUCUAGGGUUUUUGAAAAUUAUAGGGAGGAUUUAUUUAUAAUAAAAAGGUGGAUGGAAUUAGAUAUUUGGCCCAAAACCAAUUUUUUUUUGUUGCACAAUCCGUGUGUUUUUUCAAGGUAUUUUUGGAAAAUUUUAAUGUAAAAAAGUGAUUAGCCAUUUUUGUAUAAUACUUAAUUGAGAUAUAGGACAUUUAGUCCCUUACAUUUUCAGUCAACAUUACACUAAUAUGCCACAUUUACUCUUUAAAAAUUAGUCACGCGGCCUGCUCGUGACUAGUUCCGGCUAAACUUCGAACGAAAAAGUGAUCAAGGACCAAAGUUGAUCACUUUUAAUUUGUUAGAGACUAAAAGUGAUCGUUUUCAUUCUGAGGGAUUAAAUUUUUACAUCAGUGAUAUGUAAGGGAUGAUCCGUGCAGUUUUCCCUUAAAACUUUAUAAGCAAAGGGCAUUUUAGGAAUUUUUGACAAGUCUAAGGUUUAUUUACAAAAGUGUCAGUUAUAUGUAAUUGUUAAAAUUUUAAGGGAACUUAAUGAAAUUAUCAAAAACAUCAAGAAAGGUUUAUGAAAUUAUCCCCAUAUUUUAUUGUGAGCCUUUAAUUGUUUUUCCCACGGCAAAUGAUACUGCCAUUAUAUAUUUCCACGGCAACUGUACAUGUUGGUUGGAAUGACUGACGUACUCCUUUUUCUAAAGUCCAAAUUACACUUAGACUUCUGAAUUGUAAGUUCGGCAUUUGGUGCAAUGUAUGGGAAUACAGUCUUGGCAGCAGCCCUGUGUUGAAUUCACGGGUGAAGAAAAUUAGCAAAAUGAUAAGAUUAAUAUGUUAUCUUCCGCUAGAAUCCGAACUAUUAAACUGUAGCACUUUUUGUGAAUUAUUAGAGAUAUUUUUACUGUAACACUUUUUGUGAUGUGAUGUAUGUGAGAUAAAAAGGUAAUUGAGAAGGUAAAGAUGUGUAUUAGAAAUUGUAAUGAUGAUGUAAGCAAAUAAAUUUUGAGAAAUAAAGUCCAAUCCAAACAAAGCCUAGUAAGGUUAUAUACUAUUUGGAAGAUAAUGCUAAAAGUUACUACUACUUUAAAAUUGGAAAACGCAAAUCAACGACUAAUUGAGCACGUGGUGCAUCUCCCCUAGUUCUCUGCCACCCUGCCUUGAAAUUUUAGCCUUGUCAGUGGAAUUGUGGAAAAGGAAAUCAAAUCAAAUCAAAUCGUCCAACUUAUAAAAAACUCGAUCACUCCCUACUCCCUACUCCCUACUGCUUCCAAUCUUCUUCGUUUAUCAGAAGACAUAAUUAUUAUCACGCAAGGCAAGCCUUUCACCAGUCAAUACCAAUGAACCAGAAGCCCCAGCUCCCGCCCCAUGUACUCAUCUUUCCCCUGCCGUUGCAAGGCCCCGUCAACUCCAUGUUGAAGUUAGCAGAGCUUCUCUGUCUUGCGGGUCUGCACAUCACCUUCGUCGUCACGGAGCACAUGCACGGCCGGCUUUUACGUUACGCCAAUAUCCAAUCUAGAUUCGAAUGUUAUCCGGGGUUUCAACUGAAGACCAUCCCUGACGGUCUGCCAGAAGAUGAUCCGCGUUCUCGAGGUAAAUUCGCGGUGCUGCUUGAUUCUCUCAAGUCCAAAGGCAAGCUAAUCUUCAAGGACAUGCUGACUUCUGGCUGCCUUAGCCAUCAAAAACGCAGGCCCGUCAGCUUUAUCAUAGCUGAUGGAUGCUUGGGGUUCACCUGCGAUGCUGCAAAUGAGGUUGGUAUCCCAAUUGUUUAUGUCCGAACAGUCAGUCCGUGUUGUCUCUGGGUCUGCUUUUGCCUUCCCAGGCUCAUUGAAGCCGGAGAGAUACCCUUUAACGGUACGUAUACCAAUCUUUAUUUUAAGCUUUCGUCUCAUUUUUUUCCUAGUGUUUUGGUUCAAUUUAUCUGUCACAACUUACAACACACGCCAUGGUGUUUGCGAAAAAAUUAAGUCUCAAUCCCGUACGUAUUGUCAUAUAUAUCCUCACUCAGAAGUUCGUAGAAGAAAAGUUAGAAAACUGUAUGAUCAACAUAAUUUAGUAGGUAAUAAUUUGACGUACGUUUGUUACUAGUUCAAUGUUUAGAUUCAUAAACCGUGAUCGAUACAUUGGGUAGAUUAAAAUGAGCUUAAAAAGUAAAAAAUAAAAAUAGGUUACCUGUGAUAUACUAUAGAGUGAAAUUAAUGUUAAUGUCCUUCAACUUUUUAUCGUGCUGCUUUUACUAUUUUUCUUUUUCACAACAGGAGAACGCGUGAUGAAAAACCUAACACGAAAAGUUUACUAUUAAUGAUUGGUCGAAAAGUUUGUCACAGCUCUUGGCACUAUUUUUAAAUUCAGAUCAGAUCGCCCGAUUUGAUGGAUUGAAACGGGAAUUGACUAGGCUUCCAAUUAGAGUCGGCAAAAAAAGCUUAAAAUCCAACAAUCCGGCCAUUAAUUUUAAAUGAUGGAUUGGGUCAAUUGAAUUAUAGGUUUUAUUGGGUUAGGUAAAAAUAACCUAAUUUAUUCAUUGGACGGAUUGGGUUUUUUAUUUGGGUAUUCAAUGCCCAACUUAUUUAAAAAUAAUUCAAAAUAAUAAAUACAAGAUUCAAUAUACAAAUGCCCAACUAUUUACAUUUGGACAUGUGUUAAUAAUUCAUUGAUUAAUUUGUAUUCAAAAUUCUCAUAUAUAUAUUUUCAAUCAAUUUUUUUAAUUUUUAUUUAAAAGAAAAAUGAAACUUGAAAUAAAAACCCAUGCUUAUUUUACUUUUAUAAUAGUAGUUAAACUCACUCAAUUUCUAUAAUAAUUUAUUAUGCCUUUUAAGAGUAUGUUGUUUUCCUUUCCUUUUUUUUUCUUUUUUUUUUUGGUUGUUCUCAAGUUGCUACUUGCUUUUGUUUGUUAAUAUUUCAUGUACGUAAGAUAGAGUUUUAAAUUUGUUCUAAUUGCAUUCUUUUUUAAUAUUUCGUGAUUGCUUUUGUUUGUUAAUAUUUCGUGUACGUAUAAUAUUGUACAAAUUUCUUUUUUAACCUUUUAGCAUUAUAUAAUUUUGGAUUCUUCAAAUUUACAAACAAAAGCUUACUUUGUAUCAGCCUAUUUUUUCGCUAAUUCAAAAUAAUGCAAUUCCGAUGUGGUAAAAAUGUCAGAAUAGUUCAUGAAUUCUCCUCUCAUUUAUUUCUUAAAAAUUUUGGGAUUUUCCUUAAUAAUUUUUUGAGGAGGAAUACCAGUACUUUUUACAAGCAUAUAAUAUUUUCUGCUUUAUAUUACCGCUGUUGUAAUUCUAAAAGAUUAAUAUAAUCAUAGCAUCAAGUAUGAUCCUAGAUGAUUCUAAUUAAUCAGGUGAUGAAUUAUCUAACUGUAUCAAAUCAAUAAAAAAAUACCUUCUAAUAUAUAUUAUAUGUAUAUAGAUCAUGAUAUUAACUUCGAAUCAAUAUAGUUGACUUGCAUAUUCUAUUUUGUUUUAAUAAAUUAUGGCAACUUGGGCAUGGCUAGUCCAACAAUUUCAUUUCGUCUGAAACAAAUAAUUUCCCUUUUAAUUAAUUUCAACAACAGAAAUAAUUUUCCCUCUUAAUUAGUGAGUCCAAGAACCAAAAUGUAGUAAUGUCUCCAAUCAUUUAAUGGAAGAAAGCAAUUUGCAUAUUAUCCUCAGAAUGUAGUUAUGAUGCAUGAAUCUUUCACAACAGUUUGCAAAAUUUCAAGAGUCAUGAAUCAUAAUUUUUUUGAGAAUAUAAGGACUAAAGUACAAAGUUAUUUUCUAUAAUUUCAAUAUUAUUAUACAACAAAUUAUAUGUCUCUUACUUACAUUUUCAAGUAUAAUAUAAUCUAGCAUUCAAUAAUUUAAAUACAUAAAAUAUUACAAUUUACAAUAAAAUAGAUAUGAAUAGUAAAAGUGCUAAUAAGUUGUGACAAAAAGGCAGAUUGCUAGAUCUGAAAUGAAAAAAAAAAAGGAAAAAAUGAAUCAGCAAAGAGAUGAAAAGAAAUCAGGGAUUGGAUGGGAAUGGACAAAAAUGGAGGACGGUUCCAUGUGUGCUUGUGAAUGUUUGCGAGAGUCAAUAAAGGGCAAAAAAAAAAAAAAGGAAAGAGAGAGAGAGCAUUAGAUAGAAGAAGAAUGGUGAUGACUUGAAAAAUGAAACAAAACAAAAUAUUAGAAAAAAAUAAUAAUAAAGGAAGACGUACACAAACUGGAACAGGAAGUCUGGAUUGCUUUGGAUGCCAAAGAAAGCACGGGAAAGCCACUGGCGGCGAGGAAGAAAAAAUGAUAGGAAAUUCCUUUUUAAAUCUAAAAUUUUUUUAUAUUGCAUUUUGACCCCAAAAUGUUUUGAAUAAUUAGAACUACGCAUAAAUUUCUUUUAUUAUUUUCAUUUGCAACUUUAGUUUUUGCAUGUUUACAUGAUUCUUGCUAUCAUUCUAGUCUUUCUAGAUUAAUUAUCUUAUGCGCUGCAGCCCAAGGACUUAGAAGUAUUUACAUGUACAUUCUUAAUUUCAUUCUAAAAAAUAUAUGGACACACACACACACACACACACAUAUAUAUAUAUAUAUGUAUUUAUGACAUCAUUUUAUCCGAUUUGAUCCUUGAAAUCGAUCGAGUCAAUUCUUGGUUCGCCUCUGAAAACAUAGAUUCUUGGUUGUAAUGUCAUGCUAUAUAGUCUAUGGUGACGUGUGUUCUUGACUUUGAGAAUGGAAGUGAAACACAAGUCUCAUGUACAGGGGAUGACUUGGACACACUCAUAAAAGGUGUACCGGGGAUGGAGAGCUUUCUCCGGCGACGUGACCUGCCGAGUUUUUGCCGUUCUGGUGACCCAGACGACGAAAGCAUGCGACUCUAUAAAACAGAAGGCCAAGAAAAUUCCAGAGCCUAUGGCCUCAUAGUCAACACGUUCGAGGAUUUAGACGGACCCAUACUAUCCCACAUGCGUACCGUCUGUCCCAACAUCUACACCAUCGGACCGCUCCACGCCCACCAUAAAAACAAGCUGGCCGAGCAAGCGGCGUCGCUGCCGCCCACUUCCAAUAGCUUAUGGUCCGUAGACAGGAGCUGCAUGACGUGGCUAGACUCUCAGCCGUCAAAGUCUGUGAUCUACGUCAGUUUUGGAAGUAUUGCAACAUUGACCAAGGGCCAGCUCAUGGAGUUCUGGCACGGCCUGGCCAACAGUGGCGUCAGAUUCUUGUGGGUAAUAAGGCCGGAUUCUGUCGCAGGGGAGGAUUGGGAGAGUCAGGUUCCGGCGGAGGUACGGGAGGAAACGAGGCAGAGGGGGUACAUUGUGAGCUGGGCCCCACAGGAAGAGGUCCUAGCCCAUUUUGCUGUCGGUGGGUUUUUGACCCACAAUGGGUGGAACUCGACUGUGGAGAGCAUACACGCAGGUGUGCCCAUGAUUUGUUGGCCUUACUUUCUGGACCAGCAAGUGAACAGUCGGUUUGUGAGUGAGGUUUGGAGGCUGGGAUUGGACAUGAAGGAUACCUGUGAUAGGGCUACAAUCGAAAAAAUGGUGAGGGAUUUGAUGGUGGUGAGGAAUGAGGAAUUCUCUCGAAGGGCUGAGGAAAUGGCCCAAUUGGCUAGGACAUGCCUGAACGAAGGAGGGUCGUCUUAUGGCAACUUGGAGCGUCUGGUAAGGGACAUUGAGUCCAUGACUCAAGACCGAACAACUUGAUUUGUUUUUACCAGGAAAUAAAACACAGAGGACUAAGCUGCUUUUCCCAAGACUUGUUAUCUUUUUUCUCUACUUUUUAGCAGGAAAUAAGAUACAGGGACAUACUGAGUCUUGUAUAUGUUGCUUUGAGUCCUUAUGGUCCUAAUCUUACCUUAUCAAUAAUGGACUUUUGUGCUUUUGAUUUGAAUGGCUCCAUUCACUAUUGCAUUUGGGUUCAUUGUUGCUUGAUGGAGAACAAGACCAGCCCACUCGGUUUCUUGAGUUGGGACAGGAAUGGGAUGGAGGAAUGUUAGUAUCAAUUUCUGAAGGGGGCUGAUGGGGUCUCUGAUAAUUAUAUCAAACUUGAAGCCGUUCAAUUUUUAACAGGCACGCGAGAUUUAACUUCGAUUACUUGCACGUCCUUUAUUCGAUCCAGGCAGAAGUUUUAGGAGGAAAGAAAACCCGUCAUAGAAUUAAUAUGUGCUCCUACCAUAAUUAAUCCCCUCGGAACAGCCAACCAAUCAAUCAGCAAAGAUGAAAGCAUCAACAUGUGGUUUCAAGUGUAAAACGUACAUUUACGUUUGCUCUUUUGGUAAUCAGAUUCUUUCAAGUUUAACACGACUUUGAGGUUGACUCAGAAAUGUUAUGGUACAAGAAAUAAGUUGUAGCAUUAGUAGCUAAUUAAUUAAGGAGAUUUGAUAUCCAUCAAUUGGCGAUCGCAAGCAAAUUUGUGCGUGGAGUAGGGUGGAAAAGAAGUUAUUUGCAGCAGCGCGAUGAAUUCCGAAUUCUUGUUGACUUCACCACCGACUUUAUAUUCAUGCGUAUAGAUAAUUAAAAAAAAUAAUUUUUUUUUUGUGCUCAAUUACUUUAAAAUAAAGUAAUCAAUUCCAAUUAUUAUUGAUAGACCAAUUCACUUUUGAGCCGAACUACUUUCAUUAUUCUAAGAUUGUUAAGUCAAUUAGUACGCUGCCAUCCAUGUGGUUUCAUUUUCUGAAGGCCCAAUGUGUACGCAAAAAACAUAUCAAAUUUCAGCUUAAUCUUUCAAAGUACCCAAAAGUCUGCCAUUUCGCUUUUCUAUUUAUUUACCCUUUUUUUUUUUUGUUUUUUCUGAUCCCGUCUCAACUAAGUAUUGUUUUUUUUUAAAAUAACACUCCCACUACUAUUGAUCUCGGAGGUGUCUCUAAUUAUGAACGAAAAGGAAAAAAAAAGGGGAAUUUUUAAUAUACUUUUGUAAUUCUCUUCCCUAAAAUAUGCAGCUGUUGCUACGUCCCAUGAUUGCAAUAAUAAACCAUUAUAGAUUGGUAAAUUGCAUGAUUACGGGCAUGCACGCUGAUGGAGGGAAAUCAUCAAUAUGAACAUGGAUGCCUGCCUUGAUUACGUAUUUAAUCUAAUUGUGUCGAUGCCUUUGGCGGGUUGACGUUUAAUUAAUGAAUUCACCCGGAAGAAAAUCAUCAGUCAGAGUAACAAUUUAAUUACUAGCAAUUUAAGCUUCCACUGCCUAAUGGCAACAACAGAGCAAGAACCAAUCCAUUUUAUAUAAAUGCUGCUGCGUGCAACUUCUCCUUGAGACAACACAGAAGUCGUAAAGAUGCUUUGCAACACAUGGGAGCAGAAGUUGAUUCAACCAACGUACUAUUCUUGUAGCGAAUAUGGACUAAUCAUGCUUUUGUCAGAAUACACAUAAAAUAAUAAUGGUAGCAGCAUAAAUGUUUGAGUAUUAACAAAGCAUUUGGUGUGUGUGUGUGUGUGUGUUUACUGCUUUAAAAAGGAAAAAAGAAAAAAAGCUGGAAUACGUUUUGUUCCUGUGUUAAUUUAAUUUUGGACUGACGUACGUGUUGGCAACACCGAAUGGCAAUUGUAGCGUUCAUGUGAAGUCAUGUUACAGAAGAACUACUGCUGCCACUACCAAUUAUUUUUCUUUCUAAUUUGGGUUUCCAUUAUUUGACAUUGAGAUUGUGUGUGUCGGAAGUGAAGGGCAGGAUGAUUAGUCUUUUGCAUAAUUGAUUGACUGACUCCUCUUUUACCAAAGGAAUCUGGCUUUAUCCAUUUCUGCCUUUCCACGAGGAUCAAGUCAGGAUAGAGACACCGCUGUGAGUUUAGAAGAUGACCAAUUACUUGAGAGAUUCUGAUUGGAAAAUGUUUGGACCGGAGAUUAUUUGGAAAAAUUAUUUGGAGUGAUUCAUGUCACUUUCUGUAAUAUGAUGUAUGUGAAAUAAAAAUGUAAUUAAAAAUAUGAAAUAUUAGUUAAAAAAAUGUAUUUAUAAUACAAUUCAAUUAAUAUUUGAAAAAAAGUUCAUAUUCAAACAAACCUCAACUGUGAAUUUUGCCGUUCUCAUCAAAAUAUUCAAAAAAGUAUUUUUUUUUUAUAUCGACAUUAUAAAUUUUAUGCUACAUUUGCUCCUACUCUAUCAGAGGGGGAGUGGAAAAUUUAAAGAGGUCAAGGGAAAUGUCAAGGUGCAUAGGCACCUGUUGAUGAAAUCUUUUUCGAGAAAACUUGAAUAUUGGAUCAAUGGCUCAGUGGCCACCCAGGACCUCUUUGAGAUGUAGGUGAAGGUUCAAACCUCACCUGCAGCGAAAAAAAUUUAAGGGUUGUACCAGAGCACGCUCCCUUGAUCUAUAGUUGGAUCUGUAUACCGUUGCUGGGAAAAAAAAAAAAACUUAUAUUCAAAUAGAGUUUUAAAACUCUUUUUGACAACUCUAGAAAUAGUUGGUUGCCUUGAGUCCCAACCUCCGCAAUAUCUUCAAACAAAAGACUCCAAACCCUUUCAAGCGGUUUCUGUAAAAAUUGAUAGCCCCGUCUCCUGUUCCUGACCGUGCUUUGGCUAGAUGAACUGUACAAGUUUGGCCGAUAAGUUCUCCGUGAUUUGAGCAACUUAUAACCAAAAAAUGGAGAGAGGGGCGGGGGGGUGAAGAAGCGCGGGGCUUCCCCGGACCGAGCUGAACUGACGAGCUCGGGGUGUCGAUGGGAGAGCUGAUCCAAGACCUGCAAAACAAGUAAAAGUGAUCUCACGGUGGGGGGGCCCGAGGGUUGUCCCCGAGGGCGCUCCGACGGCCAAGUUAGUACUCCGGUGGGUAAGGUUCACGGGAAGUAGCAAUGGUCCAGGAUAAAUUGCCAAUAGUGAGCGUACCUUGUACAGUGGAUGUGUGUUAUUAUUUAUACCUGGAAGGGAGUCCGACCUCCGCACGACGCGGGACUUGCCCAGUAUAGAUAGUAUCCCGCACUCAGGGGGAUUACUCCCGACCUCUUCGGGACGGACCUUCGCCUCCCCUGGGAGCCCUAGUCGGUGCGGCCCAGGGCUGCUGCCAGGGGUCUGGGGGCCAAGGCCCAGCUCGGUUCUUCCUGGGCUGCCGCGUGUCCGAGCCCAGAACGGGGCCUCUGCACUAACCCCCUAGAUUAGGUAGGACUGUCAGACAGACCUAAUCUAUCUUCGCCACGUGGGAGGCCAGAACCGCGCACUACCCUGCCGAGGUCACCUCUGGUACAGUGCUGUCACAGGGACGCUGCGCCCACGUCCUUUCAGCUGUCCCGCCUCUUCGGUUUUCGUGCCCGCAUUAAAUGCGUUCACAUGAGGGUCGGUUCAAAUUCACGCAACCGUUCUCCCUCCGCUCUUCCCCCUAUAAAUAGGGGAUGCCAAAUACUCAUCUGUCCCAUUUGCCAUUUCCGCUUCUUCUUGUGCAUUUCAAGUUAUCACUCUCCCUGUGCACCCACAUUUCCAUUUUCCAGCAACCUCCGGCGUCCUGUGCCCAGAUUCCGGCGAGCCUUCAAUCCUUCUUCUGCCGUCAUCAGUAAGUCCUUUUUGCGAUUCAUCUUCCCUCUUCGCGGUGUCUCUUUUGCCCUCUGCUACCCCCCACUUUUUAUGUCGGAUCAUUCCUCCUCCUCUGUUGCUGUAGUAUCAGUCCGCCGCAGAGCUCCCCGAGUUAUCGUUCUUUCCUCGCCUUCACCCUCAUCUUCGUCACCAUCUUCUCCUCCCCCUCUUUCCCCUUCUUCUGCUUCUAGUCCCAGCUUCCACACCUCUGACCUGCCCGAGCCUACUGACAUCAUGAGCUCUCCUUCACCCCAGUCUCCUUCAUCCCAUCCUUUUUCUGCCCGCGCUCUAGAGGAAACGGCUGAGCUCGACGCCUACCUUGAGCAAGAGGCCGCAACCACCUCCUCUCCCCAGUCCCCCCAUGACUCCCCUGGCGGGGCCCAGGGCGGAGCUGGGGAGGACAGGGAUCCCUCUGAGGGGACCCCUACCUCGGAGCAGGGGGAGGAUCCCGAAUUCUCCUAUGGUUACCCAAACCUACAGGAGGCCACCCUGUCGCCCCAGGACGUGGCCGAGCUGGCCGAGUCGUACUCCAUCCCCCCGGCCUUCGAGCCGAGGGCGGCCGGGCCCGACGACCGAGCCUGCCGACCUCCCCCAGGCUUCGUGGCUAUCUACAGGGAGCAGCUCAUCGCAGGGCUCCGUCUCCCCAUUCAUCCAGCUCUGACCAAUAUUCUGACCUACUGGGGGCUCAGAAUCACCCAACUUCACCCUACCUCCAUCAGGAUCAUCACCGGAUUCCUGAUUUACUGCCUUCUCUGCGACAUCCCCUAUUCUCUCUCCCUUUUCCGAGCCGCCUUCAUUCUUAAGUCUUCCCUCCCGGGGUGGUACUACUUCUCCCGUCGGGGCCCCCAGACCAAGGGAGGGAAAGGGGCCCAGGAGUUGUUCUUCGGCCUCCCCUCCUCCGUUAAGGAUUGGAAGGAGGAUUUCUUCUUUGUCCGAUCCACACAUUUUCCUCCCAAUGUGUGGAAGGUUGGGGGGGUCAAGGCCGACCCCUACCCGAAGGACCUGGACUACGAGACCCUCAGCCCGUUGUUGGGCUCCAAGGUGAAGCUCGAUGUUACCAGGAUCUCUUCCGAGCAGAUCUCCGCAGCAGGGCUGAUGGGGACGUUGUCCGGAUCCUCUGGGGAAGUGGCGACCCCCCAGCCCAAACUCGACACCUGUAACGCUGGCUCCGUCCCUGUCUUUAUUCAUAGCGUAUAGAUUUUCCCUUUUUUGCCUUUUACUGUCUUUCGUUCGGCUGACCUGGUGUUCAUUUCAGUGAGGAAGCUCUCCCAACUGCUGGGCGCACCCCUCGAGGAGGUCACUCCCGACCCCCAGCCCGGGGCUGCUCGGGGGGCCCCGGGUGGGGCUUCCACCCCGGGGGGCGGCUCAGCCCCCCAGAAGGAGACAUCGCAACCAUCCCCCUCCAAGCAGGCCGCCAGCAAAAAGAAGGCGGCCGGACAGAAGAGGGGCAGAGGGGACGAGCCCUCUCAGGCUGGGCAGAAGAAGCUCGCCCUGGUCUCCGCACAGCCUCCUGUUGCGCGGGUCUCCGGGGGACCAGUCCACCUGGGCGUGGGCUCUGCCGAGGAGCAGGUCCAGGAGUCGACUCCCCCGAGCUUGUGGCACUUCCGCCACAUAGCUCCCCUGAAGCCGGGCCAAGCCCCCACGAUGCAUGACCCCCGCCACUUCUGCCCGUCCUGGAAACUCUCCAUCAACGACCGAGCCCAGUUCCCCGAGGUGGCUCGCGAGCUGAUGGUGGGCUCGGUCCUUCCCAGGGACAAGAAGUGGAUGGAGCUGGCCAGCCCCCCCGAGCUCUUGGACGCGUAUUAUACCGCCCAGGCCCAAGUAAGUAUCACCCACGGGUUAAUUUCACCCCCGUGCCUGGGUUAAGUGAUGUGGCAUGCUGACCUGCUUUCUCUCUUUUCCAGUCCAACGCUGCCGGUGCCGCCCUGGCCACCCGCUUCUCUGAGCUGUCUCCCGAUCUGGAGAAGUUGCGGAAGAAGAACCUGGAGGCGGAGAGGAAGCUUUCCCAGGCCCUCCAGGAGGCCAGCUCCCUCAAGGCCAAAUUAGACAAGGCCGAGAAGGAGCUGGACGCCGCCCAGGUCCAGCUCGCCUCCACCAGGUCGGAGCUCGACCAGGAGAGGGCUGGUGUGGCCAGGCUGAAGGAGGAGCAUGCCGUGGAGCUCUCCGGCACCGUCAGCCGAGAGCGGAAGAAGGCUGUUCGGGAGUUCAUCUCCUCCGAUCAGUUCGAGAUGGACAUCGCCCUCCUCAACCAGCCCAUCCUCCAGGUUGGCUCUACGCGGGCCCUGACCCAGGUGCAGGGCCUCAACCUACCCGGCUUCGACGUGGCGGACUUCAAGGACUACGAUCCUGCGGCCGAGGAUAGGCUGGACUGGCUCUUUGAUGGGUACCGGAAGGGGCAUGCCCUGAAGAGCCUGGUCCGCCGAACCGACGUAGGAGCAGACCUAGAGGAGGUUCCCUUGGAGGAGGACGGGUCUCCAGGCAGAGCUGCCGGGAAAGAGCCGGUGGCCUAGGGCGGUAGCCACUCCAGAAACCCUUUGUCUUUUUGUACGGAUGUGACCAUGCUCCAGUUGAAAAUGCUCUUGGAGGUCCACCCAGGACGGAAGGGGUUUCCUGCUUCCGGGCUCCUGAAUAGCCUUCACCAUACGCCUCUCAACAUGCUUAAGGUGUACUUUCAUCUUCCACCCCGGUCGGGACACCAGCAGGCAGAACAGACAUCAAAGGAGAUUACCAGCUCGGAAAUUUUACGGUAGAUAGUCAGGGCGCUUUGUAAUAGAUAGGCAGCUCGGAAGCUUUGUAAUAGAUAGGCUUGCAAUGUAUACACAAGAUUUCCCAGGAUUAUUUCCUUCUUCCCUCGCCCACUCGCAAUGCUAUGUGCCGACCUCCGGGGUCGAACACCUCACACCUCACCCCUUGGGGCUGAGUGCUUUAAAUGUUAAGCGCGUCCUUGCCGACCUCCCAGGUCGAACACUUCACUCCUCAUUAAGCGCGUUCGAGCCGACCUCCCAGGUCGAACACUUCACUCCUCAUUAAGCGCGUUCGAGCCGACCUCCCAGGUCGAACACUUCACUCCUCAUUAAGCGCGUUCGAGCCGACCUCCUGGGUCGAACACUUCACACUUCAUUAAGCGCGUUACCUCCUGGGUCGAACACUUCACACUUCAUUAAGCGCGUUCGUGCCGACCUCCUGGGUCGAACACUUCACACUUCAUCCACUACCCCUAGCCCCCCACUAGGACGUUGAGCGAGGGAAUGCUGAAUGUGCUAGUGUAAGGUGCAGGUUUGAAAAUUGUAAAAUGAAACAAGUACAAGUGAAAAUUAAAACGAGCUGUAAUUUGAAUGGAAAAACAAAAAUUCAGAUUCCAGAGUACAGGCCAUUGAACAUCCUGGUUUAACCUACGCCACAAACAACCGCAAAUUGGAGAAGUGCCAAGUCCGGGGUACUUCAGAUCCAUCCAUCUUAGCGAGCUUGCAAUAGCCAGCUUGGCUCGCCUCAAGGACCUUGUAGGGGCCCUCCCACUUUGGGUCGAGCUUGUUGGAGCCGUGUACUCGGCUUAUCGAGUUCCUCCUCAGGACGAGGUCUCCUGGCUGGUAUUGUAUAGUCUUUACUUUGGCGUUGUGAUAGCGAGCGAGCUGGCUUUUGUACUUAGCCAUUCGGAUAGCCGCUUCCUCCCGCCUGACUUCGAGCAUGUCCAAGUUGUACCUAAGCUCUUCCUCGUUGGGUGUUGCCACGAAGUUCUGCGUUCUGGGUGAGGGAAGACCAACCUCUGCGGGCACCACAGCCUCUGCUCCGUAUGUUAGGGAGAACGGGGUCUCGUGAGUAGCCGUCCUGGGCGUAGUGCGGUAAGCCCAGAGGACACUGGGGAGCUCAUCCAGCCAGCUUGAUUGGGCGGACUCCAGUCUAGUCUUCAACCCUUGCAGGACAGUUCGUUAGCGUUCUCCACCUGGCCAUUGGCCUGGGGGUGACCAACCGACGUGAAGUGCUGGAUGAUUCCGAGCUCGGCGCACCAGCUCCGGAAAGGGUUCUCGGCAAACUGGCGGCCGUUGUCAGAUAUCAGGACAUGCGGAAUCCCAAACCGGCAAACUAUGUUCUUCCAAAAGAAUUUCUGGAUCGCCCUCCCCGAGAUAGAGACCAGGGGCUCCGCUUCCACCCACUUCGUGAAGUAGUCUAUGGCUACCACGAGAUGCUCAUAUCUUCCCGGGGCUCGGGGAAAGGGGCCUAGGAGGUCUAUCCCCCAUUGGGCGAAGGGCCAAGGACUGUGGAUGGGGACCAUCUCCCGAGCUGGCUGAUGGCGCAGCGAAGCGUGCACCUGGCAGGCUCGGCAUUUCUGGACCAGAUCCGCUGCGUCUUGGAAGACGGAGGGCCAAUAGUAGCCCAGAAGGAGGCACUUCUUAGCCAGCAUUCGGGACCCCACAUGGGCCGCACAUAUUCCUUCGUGGACUUCGCGCAAGACGUAAUCACCUUCUUCGGGUGUGACGCACUUUAGCCAGGGGAACAGGUACGACCUCCUAUAGAGGGUUCCCCCGGCGUAGGCGUACUUGGCAGCUCGGAGCUGGAUGCGUCGGGCCUCGGCUUUGUUUUCGGGGAGGUCACCCGAGCUGAGGAAAUCCACGAGGGGCGUCAUCCAGGUGGCCGAGCUGUCUAUGGCCAGGACCUGGACCUGAUCGAUACUUUCCUGCUUUAGCACCUCCACCAAUACCUCCUUGCCGAGGUGGGCAAAUGAGGAGGACGCCAACUUUGAAAGGGCGUCUGCCCGCUUGUUCUGGGACCUUGGCACCCGCUCGGUUUCGAACGUUUCGAACAAAGCCACCGCUUCACGUACUUUGGCCAGGUACUUCUUCAUAACCUCGUCCUUGGCUUCGUACUCCCCAAGGACUUGGAGGACGACGAGCUGUAAGUCGCUCCUGACCUGGAUCGCGGUUAUCCCCAUCUGGUGGGCUAUCCGCAAUCCUGUGAGCAGGGCCUCGUACUC
RNAcentral lists this long non-coding RNA (36370 nucleotides) under Coffea arabica (coffee). RNAcentral's name for it is "long non-coding RNA (CARA_LNC001514)". Lineage: Eukaryota; Viridiplantae; Streptophyta; Magnoliopsida; Gentianales; Rubiaceae. The record is from RNAcentral.